GAUGAAGAACGCAGCGAAAUGCGAUAAGUAAUGUGAAUUGCAGAAUUCAGUGAAUCAUCGAAUCUUUGAACGCACAUUGCGCCCCUUGGUAUCCCGAGGGGCGUGCCUGUUCGAGCGUCAUUUCACCACUCAAGCCUGGCUUGGUGUUGGGCGACGUCCUCUUUGGGGACGCGCCUCGAAACGCUCGGCGGCGUGGCACCGGCUUUAAGCGUAGCAGAAUCUUUCGCUUUGGAAGUCGGGGCCCCGUCUGCCGGAAGACCUGCUCGCAAGGUUGACCUCGGAUCAGGCAGGGAUACCCGCUGAACUUAAGCAUAUCAAUAAGCGGAGGA
RNAcentral lists this unclassified non-coding RNA (329 nucleotides) under soil metagenome. Its description in RNAcentral is "partial contains 5.8S ribosomal RNA, internal transcribed spacer 2, and large subunit ribosomal RNA". The stretch from base 1 to 120 matches the Rfam family "5.8S ribosomal RNA", at positions 35 to 154 of the family's 154-position model. The record is from RNAcentral.